AGACAUUUCUAAUCAAUUCCAGCAAUCCUUCCUCUUGACCCAGGAUAUUUAUGCCUCAGAGUCCUGUGCCCCAGGCAGCUGUUAGCAGAUGGGACGACUGAAUGAUGAAACCUCUUUGCUGUGUCUGGGGUGGUGAAGGGCAUAAGCUUUGCAGGCAAAUGUGUUUAGGAGGUUCAAAUCCCAGUUUUGCCACUUAGAAGUUGUGGGACAUAGAGCAAGAUACUUACAAUAUUUAGGUGAUUCUGAGGUGCAUUAAACUAUCCGAACUACAAGCCAGAAGGCAAAGGAGAGCGGCUGGGCAAGGAGAAGUGCGGGAGUGAGAUUGUGACCAAGUGGGGGCAGACCUGAUGAAAUUAGAGAAGGCACCUCCCCGUCAAGGAAGCUUUAUACGUGGGACGCCUACCACAGCAUGGCUGCCAAGCAGUGCCAUGUCCGCACCCGGGAUCCGAACCAGCGAACCCCGGGCCGCCAAGAAGCGGAACGUGCGAACUUAACCGCUGCGCCACCGGGCCGGCCCCUCUUGCCUCCAAUUCUGAUUCAGAACCCCAGGAGUUCCAAGGAUGUACUCCAGGGACCACCAAGUGGGAGAGUUCUGGGCCCCCAUAUCUGUGUCUGCCCCUCUAUUCUUCAUCAUCUCCAACUCUCAGCUGUAAACUGAGCAGCUCACUUUUAUCUAUUUUAUCUAUUGGAAUUUUACAUACAAUUUUAUUUGAAGAAAGUCAUGGUGCUUAAAAACAGAUUUGAAUAUUGUUGGUUGAGAGAAUGAUGCCCAAGCAAGGCCAAUUACAGCAUGAAUACUGCACAUAUCACACUUAUAAUUGUAUUUUGAGAGAGUGAACUAUGGCUGCAAUAAACAACCACAUGCAGGAAAUAUGAUUAGAAUGGUUCUAAAAGGCCCUGAUUCCUACUAGCCUGUUAUUAUUGAAGGAAAUUUCUCCAUUAUAGACCUAUUGAUCUGGGCUGAAGCAUUUUAAUCAGUAUACAGGAAUGUUAUCAUAGCUAUGGUUGUGUUUGCCCUUUGUGCCUCUUGACUGACCUCCUUGUGGUAACAAAACCCCUAUUUCCAGUGGGGAGCCCAUUCCCAGUGCUUUAGGGUGGGUAUAGGACCCAAGGCUGACUAAUGAGUAUGCGUAAUUCACCUGGCCAUAGUAAAGGAUUCAGGGAUGAUAUAUGAUUAAGCUGGGCCAAUCAGAGCCCAUCUUGAGAUUUUUAUUGGAAUUAUUGGGACCACUAGCUGUAAGGAUGAGGUAAAUCUAGAGCUGCUGGUGGCCCUCUUUGCCAUCACAUAAGAACACCAUGCCUUAAAAUGAAGCCAAGACCAAAAAGGCAGAACUGAGAAAUGGCAAUAGAUUUCUGAGGACAUUGUCUAAACCCUGGACUCAGCUCUUUCUGGAGUUAGUUUACCCCUUGAACUUCCCAUCUAUGUAAAUUUCCUUUGUGUUUAAGUGUGAGUUGAAUUUCUCUCUGUUACCGCUGAGAGUCACAGCCCAAUCACUGCAUGAUUUUUGCUGAUGAAGUUUCUGAGCAGGGUUGUUGGGGAAAGAGAAAAGACUGGGCCCUCCCUAGAGAAGCAAACAAGAUUGAGAGGGGCUGCAGAGCUGUGGAGGCAGCUUGAAGGGCCCCUCUGAGGAACUGGAGAGUGGACUGGCUGGAGAGUGCUCUGUCAGUGUUACCUGGGCCAGAACUGAUGGCAUAAGGGCAAUGGAGCUGGGAGCUGAGUGCAGAUGGGAAAACCUUGAUACCAUUCCUGGAUCCAUGAGCACCAACUCCCAGGGGCAGCAGAAGAUCCAAUGAAGCAAUGUCACAAAAAGUCAAAAGUCUCUUAGCAUUGUGAUCCAUGCCAGUCUUUCUGAUCUAUCUAGUCGAUUAAAUUAUUCCUGUGAUAAAACAGUCAGGCAAAUAUAUAGUCACCAGAAUUCAGCCUUUACAUGUUAUUGACAUUUCUAAAGCUUACAGGUUGAUGUGUUUCAUUUAUGACUUGUGCACUCUAUGUUAAAAAUCAGUUCUAUCUCCCUUCUCCACCCUUCUUUUUUUCCAGGAGGGCAGUAUUAUAAACCCAGUUUACAGUCCCACGUGAGAACAAUGGUAAUCAGAUUACGGGGCAGAAAUGGGUUUCCUCCGUGGUAACCAGAGUAUUUCUGAGUUGCUGUUUCUGAGAGAAGGGCCAGGCUUGGGCAGGCAUCAUCUGAACGGCGGGCUGGGCUCCGCAGCUGGUUCUUUACUCAGGCUGCUGCUUAUUUCCCUUGUUCCCAGGGCAGCUUCAAUAAGAUCUCGGGGAAGGAUAACUGGGAAUGGAAUAAAUGUUGCCACUGAAAUAAAUGCAAGUAAAAAUCCACAGGAUCACUUGUCCAGGAGCAGGGGUGAAAGCAAAUACAGAAACUCAAAGCUUUCAGUUAAUAGACUGGCCAGCUGUGGGAGGGCAAGUCCAUUGUUGGAAACUGCCUAUUGUCACAAUCCUGAUACAGUAAUGACUUAUUUUAUUCCCUCUGAAGCUGGGUAUAUCAGAGACCAAAAGUAUCCUUAGCAUAAAUCAUUCCUUUUCCAGCAUUUGACAGCCCCUGUCUCAAACUCAAUUAGUCAUCAGGCACAAGGAAAGCUAAGAUCAUCACAGAUUCACACAUGUUUAAUGGAUAAAGCAUGACUGGGGAGAGAUUUCCUCUGUUUAAUCUCUGCUGUUUAGAGUUCAUUAGUAGAUCACGUGGCUAUUAAAAUAAAUAGGGCAGUGGAAAUUUAUUUUGGGCAGCAUUAAGCAGAUGUGUUCUAUUUGAAACAAUUGAACGAAAUUUAUCCCAGAGAGGUGUAAGGAAGGC
RNAcentral lists this long non-coding RNA (2810 nucleotides) under Equus caballus (horse). RNAcentral describes it as "lncRNA (ENSECAG00000049732.1)". Lineage: Eukaryota; Metazoa; Chordata; Mammalia; Perissodactyla; Equidae. The record is from RNAcentral.